AAUAAGUGCAGUUUUAGCACUGUUCAUAUUCAACGUUUGACUGUUCGUCUCAUUUAAAAAAUAAUUAUGAUUAGUAUUUUUAUUGUUAUUAGAUGAUAAUACAAUAAUAGUACUUUAUAUAUGACUAAUAUUUUAAAUUUUUUUAUAAAAUUUUUAAAUAAGACGGACGGUCAAAACGCUGGACACAGAUAUUUAUGGCUGUACUUAGG
Oryza glumipatula is the source of this 209-nucleotide non-coding RNA. The record is from Rfam. Lineage: Eukaryota; Viridiplantae; Streptophyta; Magnoliopsida; Poales; Poaceae.